AUUGAACGCUGGCGGCAUGCUUUACACAUGCAAGUCGAACGGCAGCACGGGUGCUUGCACCUGGUGGCGAGUGGCGAACGGGUGAGUGAUAUAUCGGAACAUGUCCGGAAGUGGGGGAUAACGUAGCGAAAGUUACGCUAAUACCGCAUAUGCCCUGAGGGGGAAAGGGGGGGAUCGCAAGACCUCUCGCUUUCGGAGUGGCCGAUAUCGGAUUAGCUAGUAGGUGAGGUAAAGGCUCACCUAGGCGACGAUCCGUAGCUGGUCUGAGAGGACGACCAGCCACACUGGGACUGAGACACGGCCCAGACUCCUACGGGAGGCAGCAGUGGGGAAUUUUGGACAAUGGGCGCAAGCCUGAUCCAGCCAUGCCGCGUGAGUGAAGAAGGCCUUCGGGUUGUAAAGCUCUUUCAGCUGGAAAGAAAUCGUAUCUAUUAAUACUAGGUGCGGAUGGCGGUACCAGCAGAAGAAGCACCGGCUAACUACGUGCCAGCAGCCGCCGUAA
RNAcentral lists this ribosomal RNA (502 nucleotides) under uncultured bacterium. RNAcentral describes it as "partial 16S ribosomal RNA". It matches the Rfam family "Bacterial small subunit ribosomal RNA", at positions 30 to 523 of the family's 1533-position model. The record is from RNAcentral.